GGCGAACGGGUGAGUAACACGUGAGCAACCUGCCCUAUACACUGGGAUAGCAGUUGGAAACGACUGAUAAUACCGGAUAAGACCACGCUGUCGCAUGGCAGAGGGGUCAAAGCGAUUUAGCGGUAUAGGAUGGGCUCGCGUCCAAUUAGCUAGUUGGUGAGGUAACGGCCCACCAAGGCGACGAUUGGUAGCCGACUUGAGAGAGUGAUCGGCCACACUGGAACUGAGACACGGUCCAGACUCCUACGGGAGGCAGCAGUGGGGAAUAUUGGGCAAUGGAGGAAACUCUUACCCAAGCAAUGCCGCGUGAGGGAUGGAGGUCCUAUGGAUUGUAAACCUCUUUGAUUAGGGACAAAGAAAGUGAUGGUACCUAAAGAACAAGCCCCGGCUAACUAUGUGCCAGCAGCCGC
Molecule: ribosomal RNA, 410 nt
Filed under: uncultured bacterium
Lineage: Bacteria
Description: bacterial SSU rRNA
Rfam family: Bacterial small subunit ribosomal RNA
Source: RNAcentral